This 636-nucleotide ribosomal RNA is filed under the name uncultured delta proteobacterium. RNAcentral's name for it is "bacterial SSU rRNA". It matches the Rfam family "Bacterial small subunit ribosomal RNA", at positions 8 to 648 of the family's 1533-position model. The record is from RNAcentral. Lineage: Bacteria; Deltaproteobacteria.
AGAGUUUGAUCCUGGCUCAGAACGAACGUUAGCGGCGCGCCUAACACAUGCAAGUCGCACGAGAAAGGGCUUCGGCCCCGGUAAAGUGGCGCACGGGUGAGUAACACGUGGGUAAUCUGCCCUCGAGCAGGGGAUAACGGUCCGAAAGGACCGCUAAUACCGUAUAAGACCACGACCUCGAAAGAGGAUGCGGUCAAAGCUGGCCUCUAUUCAUAAGCUAGCACUUGAGGAUGAGCCCGCGGCGCAUCAGCUAGUUGGUGAGGUAAUGGCUCACCAAGGCUAAGACGCGUAGCUGGUCUGAGAGGAUGAUCAGCCACACUGGAACUGAGACACUGCCCGGACCCCUACGGGAGGCUGCAGCGACGAAUCUUCCGCAAUGGGCGAAAGCCUGACGGAGCGACGCCGCGUGUGGGAUGAAGCGUCUACGACGUGUAAACCACUGUCAGAGGACAGAAACACUGAUUGUCCUCAGAGGAAGGGGCGACUAACUCUGUGCCAGCAGUCGCGGUAAUACAGAGGCCCCGAGCGCUAAUCGGAAUUACUGGGCUUAAAGGGUGCGUAGGCGGAUCCGCAAGCGUCUUGUGAAAGCCCUCGGCUCAACCGAGGAACAGCGGGGCGAACUGCGGGUCUUGAGGC